AUUGAACGCUGGCGGCAUGCUUUACACAUGCAAGUCGGACGAGUGGCGAACGGGUGAGUAAUAUAUUGGAACGUACCGAGUAAUGGGGGAUAACCAAUCGAAAGAUUGGCUAAUACCGCAUACUAUUCGAGCGGCCAAUAUCUGAUUAGCUAGUGGGUGGGGUAAAGGCCUACCAAGGCGACGAUCCGUAGCGGGCCGGAGAGGAUGACCGGCCAAACUGGGAUUGGGACACGGCCCAGACUCCUACGGGAGGCAGCAGUGGGGAAUUUUGGACAAUGGGCGAAAGCCUGAUCCAGCAAUGCCGCGUGGCUGAAGAAGGCCUUCGGGUUGUAAAGUACUUUUGUUAGGGAAGCGGUACCUGAAGAAUAAGCACCGGCUAACUACGUGCCAGCAGCCGCGGUAAUUC
This 406-nucleotide ribosomal RNA is filed under the name uncultured bacterium. RNAcentral's name for it is "partial 16S ribosomal RNA". It matches the Rfam family "Bacterial small subunit ribosomal RNA", at positions 30 to 526 of the family's 1533-position model. The record is from RNAcentral.